CGCAACAAAGACACCAGAGCUUGCUCUACCGUCUUUGUUGAGUAGCGAACGGGUGAGUAACGCGUGGGUAACCUGCCUUAUAGCGGGGGAUAACUAUUGGAAACGAUAGCUAAUACCGCAUAACAAUAGAGAUUGCAUAAUCUUUAUUUGAAAGUGCCAACUGGUACACUAUGAGAUGGACCCGCGUUGUAUUAGCUAGUUGGUAGUGUAAUGGACUACCAAGGCGAUGAUACAUAGCCGACCUGAGAGGGUGAUCGGCCACAUUGGGACUGAGACACGGCCCAAACUCCUACGGGAGGCAGCAGUAGGGAAUCUUCGGCAAUGGACGAAAGUCUGACCGAGCAACGCCGCGUGAGUGAAGAAGGUUUUCGGAUCGUAAAACUCUGUUGUUAGAGAAGAAUGUUGAUUAGAGUGGAAAAUUAAUCAAGUGACGGUAUCUAACCAGAAAGGGACGGCUAACUACGUGCCAGCAGCCGCGGUAAUACGUAGGUCCCGAGCGUUGUCCGGAUUUAUUGGGCGUAAAGCGAGCGCAGGUGGUUUAAUAAGUCUGAUGUAAAAGGCAGUGGCUCAACCAUUGUGUGCAUUGGAAACUGUUAGACUUGAGUGCAGUAGAGGAGAGUGGAAUUCCAUGUGUAGCGGUGAAAUGCGUAGAUAUAUGGAGGAACACCGGUGGCGAAAGCGGCUCUCUGGACUGUCACUGACACUGAGGCUCGAAAGCGUGGGUAGCAAACAGGAUUAGAUACCCUGGUAGUCCACGCCGUAAACGAUGAGUGCUAGUUGUUUAAUUCCAUGUGUAGCGGUGAAAUGCGUAGAUAUAUGGAGGAACACCGGUGGCGAAAGCGGCUCUCUGGACUGUCACUGACACUGAGGCUCGAAAGCGUGGGUAGCAAACAGGAUUAGAUACCCUGGUAGUCCACGCCGUAAACGAUGAGUGCUAGUUGUUUGGGGCUAUCCAGCCCUAAGUGACGCAGCAAACGCAUUAAGCACUCCGCCUGGGGAGUACGACCGCAAGGUUGAAACUCAAAGGAAUUGACGGGGGCCCGCACAAGCGGUGGAGCAUGUGGUUUAAUUCGAAGCAACGCGAAGAACCUUACCAGGUCUUGACAUACUCGUGCUAUUCCUAGAGAUAGGAAGUUCCUUCGGGACACGGGAUACAGGUGGUGCAUGGUUGUCGUCAGCUCGUGUCGUGAGAUGUUGGGUUAAGUCCCGCAACGAGCGCAACCCUUAUUGUUAGUUGCCAUCAUUAAGUUGGGCACUCUAGCGAGACUGCCGGUAAUAAACCGGAGGAAGGUGGGGAUGACGUCAAAUCAUCAUGCCCCUUAUGACCUGGGCUACACACGUGCUACAAUGGUUGGUACAACGAGUCGCAAGACAGUGAUGUCAAGCUAAUCUCUUAAAGCCAAUCUCAGUUCGGAUUGUAGGCUGCAACUCGCCUACAUGAAGUCGGAAUCGCUAGUAAUCGCGGAUCAGCACGCCGCGGUGAAUACGUUCCCGGGCCUUGUACACACCGCCCGUCACACCACGAGAGUUUGUAAUACCCAAAGCCGGUGAGCUAACC
Molecule: ribosomal RNA, 1558 nt
Filed under: Lactococcus sp. S23
Lineage: Bacteria; Bacillati; Bacillota; Bacilli; Lactobacillales; Streptococcaceae
Description: bacterial SSU rRNA
Rfam family: Bacterial small subunit ribosomal RNA
Source: RNAcentral